RNAcentral lists this long non-coding RNA (927 nucleotides) under Manihot esculenta (cassava). RNAcentral describes it as "long non-coding RNA (MESC_LNC000208)". The record is from RNAcentral. Lineage: Eukaryota; Viridiplantae; Streptophyta; Magnoliopsida; Malpighiales; Euphorbiaceae.
UCAAAAGGGCUGGACAAUAUUCAUAAAUCAGUCUCCAUAUUAUUAUGGUAAGGAUGCCAUUGACACAAAACUUACAAACUAAGAUGACUAAAUCGCCAUAAGGGUUUUAAAGAAUCCAAAGUUAACGUACUGCCAGAUUCAAGCAAAGACACACCACUCUGCCUAACCUCUUGUCAUAACCAGUUUGGGGAAAACAAAAUUCUCAUAGGAAAAAACCAGAGAUCUACUUCUGAUGCUAUGUAGUUCCAAAAUUAUCACCAAUUAUAUGACUCCUCAACAGAAAAGUUAUACUUUGCGGGCUGCAUAUUUCCAAAAAUAUCAUCCAAUAAUAUGAACUUCUGAAGAGAAAACCUGCAUUCUUGCAGAACAACAGCACAGACACUUCAUCAAGAAAUUCAUAUCAAUGGAAAUUCUUUAAAAAAAUUGUAGUCCAUAGCAUCCAAGGAAAGGCAUAAUACAUGCAUAGGUACUUGACAAAAUUCAUAUCAAAAGAAAUUAAGAAGCGCGUCCCCGGAACUCCGGCUUCAAAGGGUCCGGGGAGGUUCAUCUACUGUAGUGGUUUCACUCAAAGAAAUUGAAGCCUGCAAACAGAGUAUGAGCAACCUCAACCACUAUCCACGUCCCCUUCAUUUCUUUACUAAUUCCUUCUUAUAACUUGGAAAACAAAAUCAGUCAAUGUGAUAUAUAAGGAAUCAAUAACAACAAUCAAUCAACAGCAAAUUAGAACUAUGUUGAAAUUCCCUGAAAUGAAGUAAAAGAUAUAGGAGAUGACAUCAAAAGUUAAAAAUAAAAAAAGAAGAAGAAGAAGAAGAAGAAACAAGCAAACCACCAGAAUCAAUACAAAACAACGAGGUCAAUGCAUCUUCCUGACAGCCAUAUCAGGCAAAUCUUCAAACACAUCAACAACAACAUACCUACAAUACAUCA